This 450-nucleotide ribosomal RNA is filed under the name uncultured bacterium. RNAcentral's name for it is "bacterial SSU rRNA". It matches the Rfam family "Bacterial small subunit ribosomal RNA", at positions 354 to 796 of the family's 1533-position model. The record is from RNAcentral.
GUGGGGAAUAUUGGACAAUGGGCGCAAGCCUGAUCCAGCCAUGCCGCGUGUGUGAAGAAGGCCUUCGGGUUGUAAAGCACUUUUGUUGGGGAAGAAAAGCUACCGGUUAAUACCCGGGAGUUCUGACGGUACCCAAAGAAUAAGCACCGGCUAACUUCGUGCCAGCAGCCGCGGUAAUACGAAGGGUGCAAGCGUUACUCGGAAUUACUGGGCGUAAAGCGUGCGUAGGUGGUGAGUUAAGUCUGUCGUGAAAGCCCCGGGCUCAACCUGGGAAUGGCGAUGGAUACUGGCUCGCUAGAGUGCGGUAGAGGAGAGUGGAAUUCCCGGUGUAGCAGUGAAAUGCGUAGAGAUCGGGAGGAACAUCAGUUGCGAAGGCGGCUCUCUGGACCAGCACUGACACUGAGGCACGAAAGCGUGGGGAGCAAACAGGAUUAGAAACCCUUGUAGUCC